RNAcentral lists this ribosomal RNA (361 nucleotides) under uncultured bacterium. RNAcentral's name for it is "bacterial SSU rRNA". It matches the Rfam family "Bacterial small subunit ribosomal RNA", at positions 9 to 353 of the family's 1533-position model. The record is from RNAcentral.
GAGUUUGAUCCUGGCUCGAGGAUGAACGCUAGCUACAGGCUUAACACAUGACAAGUCGGAGGGGAAACGACAUACGAAAGCUUGUCUUUUGAGUGGGCGUCGACCGGCGUACGGGUGAGUAACGCGUAUCCAACCUGCCCACCACUUGGGGAUAACCUUGCGAAAGUAAGACUAAUACCCAAUGAUAUCUCUAGAAGACAUCUGAAAGAGAUUAAAGAUUUAUCGGUGAUGGAUGGGGAUGCGUCUGAUUAGCUUGUUGGCGGGGUAACGGCCCACCAAGGCAACGAUCAGUAGGGGUUCUGAGAGGAAGGUCCCCCACAUUGGAACUGAGACACGGUCCAAACUCCUACGGGAGGCAGCA